UACGUAGGUGGCAAGCGUUAUCCGGAUUUAUUGGGCGUAAAGGGAACGCAGGCGGUCUUUUAAGUCUGAUGUGAAAGCCUUCGGCUUAACCGGAGUAGUGCAUUGGAAACUGGGAGACUUGAGUGCAGAAGAGGAGAGUGGAACUCCAUGUGUAGCGGUGAAAUGCGUAGAUAUAUGGAAGAACACAGUGGCGAAAGCGGCUCUCUGGUCUGUAACUGACGCUGAGGUUCGAAAGCGUGGGUAGCAAACAGG
RNAcentral lists this ribosomal RNA (252 nucleotides) under uncultured bacterium. Its description in RNAcentral is "partial 16S ribosomal RNA". It matches the Rfam family "Bacterial small subunit ribosomal RNA", at positions 524 to 776 of the family's 1533-position model. The record is from RNAcentral.